This 500-nucleotide ribosomal RNA is filed under the name uncultured bacterium. RNAcentral's name for it is "bacterial SSU rRNA". It matches the Rfam family "Bacterial small subunit ribosomal RNA", at positions 29 to 518 of the family's 1533-position model. The record is from RNAcentral.
AUGAACGCUGGCGGCGUGCCUAACACAUGCAAGUCGAACGGAGUGUAGACGCUGUGCGAAGAAGUGCUUGCACGGAUUCAAACUUGUUACACUUAGUGGCGGACGGGUGAGUAACGCGUGGAAAACCUGCCUCAUACAGGGGGAUAACAGGAAGAAAUUCCUGCUAAUACCGCAUGAGCGCACACUGUCGCAUGGCAGAGUGUGAAAAGAUUUAUCGGUAUGAGAUGGUUCCGCGUCUGAUUAGCCAGUUGGCGGGGUAACGGCCCACCAAAGCGACGAUCAGUAGCCGGCCUGAGAGGGCGGACGGCCACAUUGGGACUGAGACACGGCCCAGACUCCUACGGGAGGCAGCAGUGGGGGAUAUUGCACAAUGGAGGCAACUCUGAUGCAGCGACGCCGCGUGGGUGAAGAAGUUAUUCGUAAUGUAAAGCCCUAUCAGCAGGGAAGAUAAUGACGGUACCUGACUAAGAAGCCCCGGCUAACUACGUGCCAGCCGCCGC